UGGUUUUACGGUGUUUGGCAGCUUGAAAAUAUUUUACACUUGGAAAAUGGAUUCCAAGACACGGGUAAAAUGACUUGCAAUUUGGGGAAAAUCUCUUACCGAUUUCUUUUCAGUAAGACAUUUUCCAUCUCCUUCAUCCAGGCAAUACACGCUGCUAUUUCGUCUUUCUCAGGCAAAGCUCUUUUUUAGGCAAAGAAGAACCUUUCUAUGGAAUCCAUUGAUUACCCAUUUGGAGAAGAGUAAGCAAUGUUCCCAUGAUCUGUUUGAAAUUGAGACAGUUGAGGAUGAAAAAUCUGACUUGCAAAACAGACUCAGAGAAGAGAUUGAAGGUAAUACCAAACUAAGCCAGUGUGGAAAAACGAAAGAAGACAUUGCAAGGGUGUCAACUAUGUCUUGAGAAAGAAGUAGCAAUAUUAAAGGAAGAGUUGCAAAGGGAGAGAGAUAAGAGGACAACUUUGGAAUCCGUUCUUAACUCAUCUCAAGAACAACCCACAGCUCUACCAGCUAAGAUUGACGAAAAGAAAAAGGCAGAUCUUAAUGACAUAGCUCUAGCAGAGGCAGAUAUAAUUAAUUUGAAAAAGAAGGUUGAAGAUCUGGAGGUGCAGCUUAAUCAACAGCUUGAGAAAAAAUCUACUUCCAUGAAUGAUUCAUGCAGUCAACGUCAACCAAAUCAUCAUGCAAAAAAAGAGGAUAAGCCAAAGGGUACUGGAGCUGUUGUUAAAGAGUCAGGAAGCAAGGCAAACUCACAUUCAUUUGAGACAACAUGCAGUACUGUAGUUUACUAGAAAACGAAUGGAAUUGAUCCUGUUGUUUUACUUUGAUGAUUGUAUUCCAUUUUCUCCAAAAUCCAAAUAACUCUACCUAUUUAUUGAAUUUUUGAGUGUUUGCCUUAGUUGUUGCUUAUGGAUGUAUGAAGAUUCUUGAUGCACUUACCUCAAAGAGAAAUUGUGAUUGUGAAAGUUGAUGUGGAAAGCUGACGAAAAAAUUGGACAGGCUCCGAGGGAUGUGAUCAGUUAUAUGGUUGAAUUUAUUUUAAAAGAAAAAUCGAAACCCCUCGUUUCAACUUUGUCUUAACCGAUCAGGAUGAGCUGCAGUUUUUUGUUAUGAUGUGGAUAUCGAGUGUUGGGUUUAAAUGAUUGCUUGAUCUUAGCUUGGACUCACACUAACUUAGACUCAACUAUUAGUAUUUAAGGUGAAUUUUUUCUUUAAUUUUUCUUUCAUUUGUUUUCUUGAUCAUAGUUAAUCCUUGAAGAAAUUAUUGCUGAAUAAUAAACAAGAUUGGUUUAAUUCUACAGCAAAAAAAUAAAAGCAAUCCUUUUCUUAGCCUUUAUUUACUUUUGUUAGGAUUGAGCUCUGACUAGAUAUUUUGUUUUGGGUUUAAUUAUUGAUUCAUCCUUUUUUCUAUUAUUUCUUCUUCGCCUUUAUUUACUUUAUUAGGAUUGAACUUUGAUUAGAGAUUUUGUUUUGGGUUUAAUUGUUUAUUCAUCUUUUUUCUAUUAUUUCCUGGCAGCUCCUUUGUUAGUGAAUGUUGUUUCUAUGUUAGUUUAUUGUACGUUUUAGAAAGAUCAAAAAUCAGGGAGCUUGGGUUGUGUUAUUUAAUCAAGAAUUGAGAAGAGAGGCUAGAAAAUAAUAGAAGAAAAGAAGGGAAUCUGAGUGUGUUUAUGUACAGUAUCUGAUAAUAACUCCUUAGCUAAUAGCUGAAAGUAAUGACCAAUAAGAAAUUAAGACUUGGCCAAUAUAUGAUCUGUGUGGUUACAAAAGGGAAUUUAAGCUAACUUUCAUCUCAGCAGGUUGCUAUGCUUGAUUCUCUCUCCCUUUAGCUCUUUUUGUCAAUUUCCUUCUUGUUCUAGGUUGCAUUGCCUAUAACCUCGGAACCGGCAGUGGUACAUCUGUGCUUGAAAUGGUUGUUGCUUUUGAGAAAGCUUCUGGAAAGAAAAUCCCCAUUAAACUAUGUCCCAGAAGGCCAGGAGAUGCUACAGCUGUUUAUGUUUCCACUGAAAAAGCUCAAAAAGAACUUGGUUGGAAAGCAAAAUAUGGUAUAGCAGAGAUGUGCAGAGAUCAGUGGAAGUGGGCAAGCAACAAUCCAUGGGGAUACCAGUCAAAGCCUUAGGCUGCAACUAAAUACUAAUUUUCUUCCCUAGUCUUUUAAAAAUGUCUCAUAGGGAGAAUUAAGUGUACAAAUACUUGUUUAAUUUAAACAAAACUGAUCUUUGAUGACCAAAAGUUUGGAUUUAUCAAAUGUUCAAAGAUCUUAUAAAAUUCCUUUGUGUUACAUUUAUAAGUCUUUGUAAGAGUGAUGUUUUUAUCA
This is a long non-coding RNA of Gossypium arboreum, 2308 nucleotides long. RefSeq lists it as uncharacterized. The transcript is spliced from 10 exons. The record is from RefSeq and is a predicted model, not a curated record. NCBI's taxonomy places the organism in Eukaryota, Viridiplantae, Streptophyta, Magnoliopsida, Malvales, Malvaceae.